ACCAUUUUUAUUUUUCAAAAACAAAGCCCAAAAAUCGUGCUUUCUUUUUCAAUUUUUUGAGAUCCAUUUGUUUACUGUUAGAAAAAAGCAAAUGGGACCAUUACUGUCUAGCCAAAAAUCUCCGCAGUCAUAUGCCCCAUUAUAACAAGCAGUUUUCGAAAAAUUGCACCCCACAUUUGAUGACAGAAAAAAGCUAUAGAUCAUCAUAUACACUUGCUGUUGGGUAUUGAAAAUGAUGAUAACUAAAUGUAGAAAUCCUGAUAUAUAUGGAAAGAUUAUAUUUGAUUGUAUCAUUAUAGUUGUACCUUAUUUAGAUUAGGAAAGUAUAUAUUUUUUUCCUUGUUUGAUUAUUCCUUUUUAGUUCCCGGUUGUAAUAUAUAUUUGGACUCACACGAUGUAAGAAAAAACAAUUCUCUUCAAUAUUUAUUUGCAUUUCUAUAUCGUCUCAGAGCCUUUCCUAACCUUGCCAAAACUCGUCAAUGGCAGAACAAUCAGAAAGCAACAACCAUACAAUGACAUCUGAACCUCAAAACAGCGAGACGGAAUCUCAUUCCACCAUGAGCUUAGGAGAAAUGGAUAAUUCUUCAUUCCAACUCACAGUUGAGAGAUUGAAUGGAAAAAAUUAUCAAGAAUGGGCUCAAUCAAUUAAGCUCAUUAUCGACGGAAAGGGUAGACUGGGAUAUCUUACCGGAAAAAAGAAACAACCUGCCUCAACCGACACCACUCUUCAGCAAAGAUGGAGGUCCGAGAACUCGUUGGUGACUGCGUGGUUGAUUAACUCCAUGAACCCAACAAUUGGAAAAACUUAUCUCUUCCUACCGACAGCUAAAGACGUGAGGGAGGCCGUUCGCGAUAUGUACUCUGACACCGAGAAUUCUUUUCAAAUGUUUGAAAUUAAAACUCGGAUGUGGCAAACAAUGCAACGAGAGAGGAAUGAGUUCUCUUUGGCAAGAACUCGACCAAAAUUUGAAGGAAAAAUGGAAUUGUUCGGCAGACAGUGUACGAUACCAAAAGAAAGUGGAGAAUGAGAGAGUGUGAAUUUUUGGCCGGACUAAAUCAUGAGUUGGAUGAUGUCAGGGGUCGAGUCUUGAGUCAACGACCACUGCCGGCGUUGCGUGAGGUGUUUGCUGUGGUACGCUGGGAAGAAACGAGGCGGCGAGUCAUGUUACGAGAUGGAAAGGAUGGUUUGGGUGAGGAAGAUGUGAAUUCAGCCCUUAUCUCUGUUGGAUUUGGGCCUACUGGGGCGGCCCACUUACAUAAAAAAACUGGGUCAGCCCAAACUUCUAUUGAACCGACAAAUAAUGGAUCCAAAUGGGCUAGGCUUACUGAAAUGGGCCCAACUUUUAAAGGAAAUGGGUCGGGAGCAAAACAAAGGGGACAACCAUAGUGUGAUCACUACUAUAAACCAGGACAUAAAGAAGAUACAUAUUGGGAUUUACAUGGGAAGCCACCAAAUUGGAAAUCAAAACAAAAUAGUAGAAAUCGUGGCUACCAAGCAUAUAUUGACCCUGUCGAAGAAAACAACAAUUCCACUUCGACCGGUGCGUUUAAUCUUGAGCAGAUGGAGCAACUGUAUAAAAUGUUUUCAAGUUUUCAAACACCCAAUGCAUCAAGUUCACUAGCUCAAAAAGGUAAUUUUCUUAGAGCAUUGCAUACAACCACCCAACCCAAAACUCCUUGGAUUAUUGACUUUGGUGCAUCUGAUCACAUGACGAAUUCUUAUCAUCUUUUCUUCGCAUACUCCACUUGUGCUGGCAAUAUCAAAGUUAAAAUUGCAGAUGGCUCUCUCUCACCUGUGGCAGGAAAAGGGAGUAUCCAAAUUUCUAAUUCUAACUCUUGAGUCGGUUCUACAUGUUCCAAAUUUAUCUUGUAAUCUAUUAUCUAUUAGUCGACUAACAAAACAUUCCAAUUGCUCAGCUAAAUUUUUCUCAUCUUAUUGUGUCUUUCAGGACUAUCAUCGGGAAAGACGAUUAGUAGUGCUAAGCAAUGUGAGGGACUUUACUAUUUUGAAGAGGCGGACUUGAGUAAACGAAAUCAAAUUGUAACGUGUGAUUCUGCUUUUACUCCUAGAGAUAGUGAAAUUUUGUUAUAGCAUUAUAGAAUGGGUCAUCCUAAUUUUCAAUAUUUACGACAUGUAUUACCUUCCAUAUUUCCAAAUAAAAUAACUGCCAUUCGAUGUGAAAAUUGUGAAUUAGCAAAACAUCAUCGUGUCCCCUUUCCAAAACCUACAUAUAAACCAUCGAAACCAUUCACGUUAAUUCAUAGUGACUUAUGGGGCCCUUCUCGAAUUCCUAGUCGAACCCAAAAAAAAUGGUUCAUCACAUUUAUUGACGAUCAUACUCGAAUAUGUUGGGUUUACCUGCUAAAAGAAAAAUAUGAGGUCCAAACUGUAUUUAUAAACUUCCAUUCUAUGAUCCUGACACAAUUCCAAACAAAAAUUCAAAUCCUCCGAACAGAUAAUGGCACAGAAUACUUUAAUACUACUUUGAAUGAAUAUCUCCAAACACAAGGGAUAGUCCACCAAAUUACUUGUGUUGAUACUCCUCAAUAAAAUGGAAUUGCCGAAAGAAAAAAUAGACCUCCUUCAAGUUGCACGUGCCUUGAUGUUUACCACAUAUAUGCCCAAACUAUUUUGGGGAGAUGCCAUUUUAACAUCAGCUUAUCUCAUAAAUAGAAUGCCUAGCCGAAUUCUCUCGUUCAAUCACCCCUCAAAAAAUUUCAGGAAUUCUUUCUCAAUUCUCAACUUGACUCAAGCUUACCCCUCAGAAUUUUUGGGUGCAUUGCUUUCAUCCAUGUCCAUCCCCACCAUCGUAGUAAGCUUGAUCCCCGUGCACGAAAAUAUGUCUUCAUUGGAUAUUCUGCUACCCAAAAAGGGUACAAAUGCUAUGAUCCAUCUUCAAGGAGGGUAUUUGUCAGCCUUGAUGUCACAUUCUUCGAAAGCACCCCCACUUCAAGCCCUCUCUUCAGGAGGAGAAUCUGAGUGAAGAUCGUCUAGUACAAAAAGAUCAAAUUUUCAACCUUGAUCUCUCAUCCACUGAACCAAUCAUAAAUACCGUCAUACCUCCUUGCCCUAAUAUGCCAUCUACAGAAGGGAACUUAAACUCAGGGGGAGGUGCAGAAAAGCAAGUUAACCAAGAGAUAUUAGUUUAUUCAAGGAAGCCAAAAUCAAUGCACAAGGAGAACCUCACAUCCGAGGCAUCAAAAGAGUCAAAACCGAUGAUAGUUCCAGAUGGGCAGGAGCCUUCAGACAGUGACCUACCUAUUGCUCUCAUAAAACAGCCUCGAUCAUGUACUCUAAACCCAAUCUCAAAAUUUGUUUCCUAUAACACUCUAUCUGCAGGUUCAACACCUUUACCUCUAAUCUUGAUAAAACAGAAAUUUCAAAAAACAUUCAAGAAGCCAUGACUAUUCCCAAAUGGAAAGAGACAGUCCUCAAAGAAAUGCAAGCAGCGAAGAAAAAUGAAACUUGAGACGUGGGAGAGUUACCAAAGGGAAAAAGACCUGUAGGCUGCAAAUGGGUAUUUAACGUGAAAUACGAAGCUGAUGGAAUGAUAGAACGAUACAAAGCCCAUCUCGUAGCAAAAGGAUAUACACAGACUUAUGGCAUUGACUAUACAGAAACAUUUGGCCCAAUAGCGAAGUUAAACAUGAUUCGGGUUAUCUUAUCCUUGGCAGCAAAUUUGGAUUGGCCUCUAAAACAACUUGAUAUUAAGAAUGCAUUCUUAAAUGAGGAAUUAGAAGAAGAAAUCUUCAUGAUGUUACCUCCUGGUUUCUGUAAAAAGGGUGAAGAAAGUAAGGUAUGUAAACUCAAGAACUCAUUGUACGGUCUCAAACAGUCACCAAGAGCAUGGUUCGACAGAUUCGCAAGAGUAUUGAGAAACCAAGGAUACCAACAAGGACAGUCAGAUCAUACCAUGUUUUAUCAACUAUCUAAAACUGGGAUGAAGACAAUCUUAAUUGUAUAUGUUGAUGACAUAAUACUAACUGGAGAUAAUACAGUGGAACUGGAGAGACUUAAGAAGAGCCUAGCAACAGAGUUUGAGGUAAAAGACCUCGGACAGAUGAGAUACUUCUUAGGAAUGGAAGUAGCCCGAUCAAAGAAGGGGAUUAGUGUUUCACAACGUAAAUAUAUUCUUGAUCUUCUUACCGAAACAGGAAUGCUUGGAUGCAAACCAUGUGACACACCGAUGGAAGCAGGAAAAUGGGUAGAAGACACGGGUGCAUUAAUGGAAAAGGAUAGAUAUCAGCGACUAGUGGACAAACUAAUUUAUCUCUCACAUAUAAGACUUGACAUUGCAUUCGCAAUAAGUGUGGUAAGUCAAUAUAUGCACUCUCCAAGAGAAACUCACCUAGAAGCUGUAUACAGAAUCCUCAGAUAUCUCAAAGGCAACCCCGGAAAGGGACUCUUCUUUAAGAAAAAUGGAAGAAAGGAGGUAGAAAUUUUUACUGAUACAGAUUGAGCCGGAUCCAUAGAAGAAAAAAGACCAACUACUGGGUAUUGUACCUUUGUAUGGGGAAAUUUAGUAACGUGGAGAAGUAAGAAACAGAGUGUGGUAGUCAGAAGCAGUGCUGAGACUGAGUUUAGAGCUGUCGCACAAGGAAUAUGCGAAAGACUGUGGAUAAAGAAACUUGGAAGAAUUACAAGCUGUGAUAGAUUUUCCAAUCAAGUUCUAUUGUGACAACAAAGCUACGAUCAAUAUCUCUCUCAAUCCGGUUCAACAUGAUCGAACCAAACAUGUCGAAGUUGACAGACACUUCAUUAAAGAAAAAGUUGAAGACAGAAUUAUAUGCAUGACCUAUGUGCCUACUAUAGAACAAAUUGCAGACAUUUUCACCAAAGGACUGUCUCGACAAAACUUCGAGAAUUUCAUAUUCAAGUUGGAUAUGAUCAAUAUUUACGAUCUAACUUGAGGAAGAGUAUAGAAACCCUGAUAUAUAUGAAAAGAUUAUAUUUGAUUGUAUCAUUAUAGUUGUACCUUAUUUAGAUUAGGAAAGUAUAUAUUUUUUCCUUGUUUGAUUAUUCCUUUUUGGUUCCCGGUUGUAAUAUAUAUUUGGACUCACAAGAUGUAAGAAAAAACAAUUCUCUUCAAUAUUUAUUUGCAUUUCUAUA
RNAcentral lists this long non-coding RNA (5110 nucleotides) under Olea europaea (common olive). Its description in RNAcentral is "long non-coding RNA (OEUR_LNC006784)". The record is from RNAcentral. Lineage: Eukaryota; Viridiplantae; Streptophyta; Magnoliopsida; Lamiales; Oleaceae.